GAAUUGAUUUGGAAGUUGAAACUUCAACUUGAAAAUCAGCAACCCUGCUUUUAACAGGUGGACUGGCAGGAGGUGGGCUCACAGCAGGUGGGCUGGCAGCAGCUGGGCUGGCAGCAGUAGCAGCAGCAGGCGGGGCGGCAGCAGGACUGUCCACAGUAGGACGGGCGGCAGCAGGAGGCCUGGGCGUGGUGCAGCUGGCAGCAGGUGGGGGGUAUGCAGCUCACCACACAGCAGGGGGGCAGGCAGGUGUCCUCCACGCGGCAGUCAGGGNNNNNNNNNNNNNNNNNNNNNNNNNNNNNNNNNNNNNNNNNNNNNNNNNNNNNNNNNNNNNNNNNNNNNNNNNNNNNNNNNNNNNNNNNNNNNNNNNNNNAGGUGGGCUGGCAGCAGCUGUUCUGGCAGCAGCUGGGCUGGCAGCAGCUGGGCUGGCAGCAGCUGUCCUGGCAGCAGUUGGGCCGGCAGCAGCUGGAGCCACAGUUCCCGCUGGUGGAGCAGGUGGGAAAUCCACAGAAGCUAGUGGAGCAGCAGGCCAUGGUGUCAGGAGCUCGGCUGAGAGUUGGGUUGCUAAGAGAAGUUUUUUGUGUUUUGCUGGUCACUUCCACGUUGGGCCUUUUAUAGGCCUUGGCCAGCUAUUAUUUACAUAAUUCUCAAAAUGCCUUCCUUGUUUGUAUAUAAAUAAUCUGUCUCUGAAUAAUAAUUGCCCUAUUCCUGAGUUAUUUGUUCAACCUCUGAAAGCCUUUAAAAGUUCAUUUUAUUGGUCUUCAAUUAGGAUUCUUUACCACAGUCAGGUAGUCAUUGGCGUUCAUUGGGUACAUAACCCAUAAUCCCCCAUAUUUGUUAAAAUUUGCUCAUUGCCCUAAGAAUAAUUGAUGCCUCACCUUUACAGAGUGUCAGUAUUACUCAUUGGUGACCCUGAUAAUGGAGCUCUUGGGUCUCACAUGACAGUUUAAUUCCCAGCAACAUGUCUCCAGUGUCAACUGCUGCCCCUUUAUCUUUCUCAUCUUCAAUUUGACUGUGAAGCAAAGUGAUCCAGCUGGCCAGAAAGGGAUGCUUUUUGGGGGGGCUGAGAAAUGUGGAUGAAUUGUUACUGAUCACAGAUUCUGGAGCACGUAUGUGCCCAAGUGGUUCUGACCACUUUAUAUCUGUUGCUGAGGUUCACACCAACAAGUGGUGAAUCUGAAAUUUGAACCUAUGCCAUCUGACUCCAAACUAAACUCUUCAACCACUACAGUCAAUACCCUGUUUUCCAUGUCAGCAAUUGUUCCAGAGAAACUCAAAGGGUAAAGGAAAGAUGUAAAAAUUUGCCCACUCUUAACUGUUUUUCAAGUCAAGGGAAGAAAUGCAGAGCUUAAGGUGAAUAAUAACACUAUUAGAAACUUCUCUGAAAAAAAAAUUUUUUUGACUACAUAACAAGCUUCAAGAAAAUUUUGUGUGCUAAAAUGGUUGACCUCCUUGACUUGUGACUUCAUUCAAUCUUUGAUAUUAGGAUGUCCUAUAGAUCUAAAUGUCCUUAACUGUAUAAAAAUCACACUCAGUAUAUUAACACUGGAACAUGUGACAUACCAUACUACAUUAGAUCAGCAUGCAGUUUACUGUAGAUAUUAGCAAACUAUAAUAUAGUUUGAAUGAGGCAGCAGAUGAGGUUGAAGAUGAAGGUUUUGUACAGGUACAAUGAAAGGUGACCUGGCCUUCAUUGAGUAUGGACUCUGUUACAGGCAAAUGGAUGUUAAAAUGCCACUUACAUAGUUUGAACCAGAAUACUGGGUGUUAGUUUCUGCUUCUUCAGGAAUGACAGUUUUGAGUUUAGACCAUAAUUCUUCCCAAAUCAGAAUGAAGGCAUUUACAAAUCCCACAUCAAAUUUGAAUUCAAAGGUAUGUGAUUUUUUUACUUGCUCUCCUUAAGCAAGUCUACAUCAUGGAUUCUUCGAUUAGCUAAUUUUCCCACUGUGGAUGUUUGGAGUAUGUAGAUUUGUCCCUAUUAUAAUCUCAGGAGCUAUUUAAUUCAUAUCUAAAUUCAGUAUCUUUGAUACUAAAAGCAUUUAUCUCCCCUUGCAAAAAAUUCAGAUAUUUGAGGAGUUGAAAUACCUACUGACUAGGGCACCAGGGAUAGGUAGUGUUAUCUGUUGGGUCUCCAUUUUUAUGCUUUUCUGCUGUGGCACUGUUUUCAACAUCUCCCUUGGUGCAAAAUUUAACUCAAUUUUCAUUUUUCUGGUCUUUAGCUGCCCUCAGAGAAUUACUAAUAAUAAGUGUUUUUAGGCGGAGUUCUCCAGAGAAACAGAACCAGUAGGAUAUAUAUCCAUAGAAAGAGAUUUAUUGUGAGGGAUUGGUUCACACAAAUGUGGAGGCCCUCACCAGGAGCACUGAAGUAUGAGGGCAGGAGAAGAUGGCUGUCCCAACUUAAGCCGUAGAACAAUUCGCCCUUCCUCUCCCUUUCUGUUCUAUUUGGGGUCUCAAUGAUUUCGAUGAUCCACAUUGUCCAUCCACAUUGGUGAAGGCAAUCUAAUUUACUCAUUCUACAGACUCAUAUGCUAAUUCCUUCCAUGAACACCCUCACAGACACACCCAGGAAUAAUGUUUUACUAGCUGUUUGGGGAUCCCUUAGCCCAGUCAAGUUGAUACAUAAAAUUAACCAUGACAUAAGGUAUGACACUUAAAAUUUGAGAAUUCUCCUCUUUUGCCACAGACUAAUCUGAACAUUCCCUUAUCUCUCCUAAAGAAAUCAAGAAAAUAAAAUUAUUUACUCCAUUUCUUCUUGAUUGGUUUUCAUACAAAUAGAGUAAGAAGUUAUAAUCAAUUUGUGAUAUUUUCCUGUGUAGAUUUUAUGACCGUUUAAAUGCUGGAAAUCACUAUCUAUUGUCUUCUUGGAGAAAAGAAUGCCAGUAACUUUACAUUUAAAAUGAUUUUAUUACAAGGCUUAUUCUCUUUGGUUUUCAUUACUUCAUUUAAGCGAUGGGGUCCAGAUCCAAUAGUAUCAUAAGAAGAAAGGAUGUGUUUGUCUCUUAUUGAAUGUCUGCCUUCUGUUUAUAGAUAUUAAUAUAUUGAGUUAUUUUUCUUUAAGGUGCCAUGGUUCUAGGUUUCUUAUUGUAAGUUUGGGGGUUCUUUCAAUUCCUUAAGCUCCAUUUUACUAGUUCUCUAGUUCAGUUGCAUCUGCCAUAGAUUCCUGAGUGAUAAGACAUGGUUGAUAUAGGAACCAGUUGAACAUCCCCAACUUUUUACUCUAAAUCAAGUAAUAAGAUCUUUUUCUCUUCUGAAUGCCAACCUGGCUCUUUUGGUGCUUUGAGAUAAAGCCAUUCUAAGUAAAAGUAAGUACAUCCUAACCCAUUGAAAGACAAGAGAGUGGUAUUUGAGGGACAUCGAGCAUUAAACAUGUUUUAGACACAUUGUGUAUGAAUGUGUGGGUUGUGCCCUGAUGGGGGAGGCUCUGUCCACUCAGAAGAAGGAGAAUCUUUCUCAUAUAAAGAUGAUGUAGGCUCAGUAAGCUGUGUAUUCUUCAAACUGUUUCUACCUAAAGGUGAUGUCUUUUUCUAAUUCUGGUAAGGUUGUGCUAGUGAAGACCCCAUCCCUUUGACUUACUUCUUUUUCUUUUUUUUAAGUGUUUAUUUAUAUUUGAGGAGGGGAGGGGCAGAGAGAGAGGGAGACAGAGGAUCUGAAGCAGGCAUGAGGAUGCUGAAGCAGAGAGCCCAACGUGGGACUCAAACUCACAAACCAUGAGAUCAUGACUGAGCCGAAGUUGGAUGCUGAGCCAACUGAGCCACCCAGGUGCCCCUGACUUAGUUACUUUUUAAAUCGAGGUGAAAUUCACAUAAUAUACACUAAACCAUUUUAAAAUGUACAGUUGAGUGGCCUUUAGUGCAUUCACCUUGUUAUGCAGCUACCAUUCCUCUGUCUGGUUUAAAACCUUUUUCAUCACCGAGAAUACCACCUGAUAAUCUUUAGUAAUUACUCCCCAUUCCCCCUUUCUCUCCAGCCAGUGAUUUACCACUUUGAUUUUAUAAUCAAAGAUUUUAUCCGUCAAAAUGGAAGUUCUUAUUAUGUAUUUUUUAUUUGAUCCUUGCUUCAUUCUAGAACUUUCUCUGGAGAUUAGAAUAAGAAUGGGCACAGUGUAUGCCAGUAUCAUGCUCGUUUAAAUCCAUUCUUGUGAUGAAUAUCUAUUUUCUAGUUCACGGUACAUGAACGAAUUGUAUAGAUGUUGUAGAAGCACCAGUUGAAAUUCCCUUUCAUCAUUUUCCAAAGUAUAUUUUGAGGAACACUAGUGUUACAGGAUGCUAGUUGGUAAUGAAUGGAGUAUUCCCCAACUAAAUCAGUUUGGGAGUAAUAGUUAUAGAGCUUUCUUUAAUAUUCUGAUGUGUUUUAUAAACCUUCAACAUGGUGCAAAUGCAUGCAACAUUACUUGACCAUUGAAUAAUUUUUCCUCAUUGGGCGUCUGAAGAGACUAAUUGUCAGUGCAUCACCUGUUUAGGAAAUAAUCCAUCCUGUGCCUGGGAGAGAAGCUGUAAGCAAUGAAUGUCAAUUCUUUUGUUUUCCAGUUUUUCUAACCUGGUGCCCAGGCGGGUGAAGGGCCUUGCUCCAGAAUCCAUGGGUCCGGGGCUCCUAAGUGGCUCAGUUGGUUAAGCCUGCAACUCUUGGUUUCAGCUCAUGUCAUGCUCUCAUAGUGUCUGGGUUCGAGCUCCACAUGGGGUUCUGCACUGACAGUAUAGAGCCUGCUUGGGAUUUUCUCUCUCUCUCCUCUCUCCCCCGCUCUCUCUCCCUCUCAAAAUAAAUAAAUAAACUUAAAAAAAAAUAAGAAUGCUUGGGUUCUUAGUUAUAAAGUGGGGAUUAGAACUUGAGAUGUCUUUAUAUCUUAUGCUAGUACUUUGAAAUCUUAUGCUUCCUGUCUUUCCAAUUAUGUAUUAUCCUUUUAUAUCCCAGAUAGUUGAAAGACUUGUACACAGAAUUGUAUAUGAAGGAAGUGAAUAAAUUUGGCAAUAUCUCAAGAAACUAAAUAACAUAAAAAUUCCUUUUUGUAAAAUUGAUCUUCUGGAACACCUAGCCUGUCAAUUUGCACAUGUGAGGACCUUGGAGAAUAGUUCCUUAAUACUGAUAUAUUCUUUUACCAUAGAUUUUGGCUGUAGAAUAUUGGACCAUUUAAUGGUAAAACAAAGGAAAACCAUUUUUUAAAGACCUUUAAAAAAGGGAAAAAUAAAAAAACACCAUAGUGCCAUACCACAGUUACUGAGAUUUUGAAAAAUCCAACCCCAAUAUCAAUAACAAAUUCCAAAGAAAAGAAAGCUCCAACAAUGACUUUGUCAUUGAAGAAUAAAAAUUUUAUUAAAUCCCAAAUCCAAUGAGCUGUUGAACUAUUUCAGGUGGUAUUUAUAGUAAAAAUUUUAUACAUUCCUCUUAACCUUGUAGGACUUCUGUUCGUGUCCAGGUUUAUGAAGUAUUUUUGGUUUUCGAUUAUAAAUUAAUUUACAUCUUAGGAAAUUUUGUAGCCAUUUGCAAGCUGUGUUAUGAGUAUUGGAGCUCAGAAGUUCAUCGGGACUCUACAUUGCCUCAUUGUGAAGUGCCAGUUUCUUAGGAUUCCUUUCGAAAGAGAUUUUCAACAGGUGGACUGGCAGGAGGUGGGCUCACAGCAGGUGGGCUGGCAGCAGCUGGGCUGGCAGCAGUAGCAGCAGCAGGCGGGGCGGCAGCAGGACUGUCCACAGUAGGACGGGCGGCAGCAGGAGGCCUGGGCGUGGUGCAGCUGGCAGCAGGUGGGCUGGCAGCAGCUGUUCUGGCAGCAGCUGGGCUGGCAGCAGGUGGGCUGGCAGCAGCUGUUCUGGCAGCAGCUGGGCUGGCAGCAGCUGGGCUGGCAGCAGCUGUCCUGGCAGCAGUUGGGCCGGCAGCAGCUGGAGCCACAGUUCCCGCUGGUGGAGCAGGUGGGAAAUCCACAGAAGCUAGUGGAGCAGCAGGCCAUGGUGUCAGGAGCUCGGCUGAGAGUUGGGUUGCUAAGAGAAGUUUUUUGUGUUUUGCUGGUCACUUCCACGUUGGGCCUUUUAUAGGCCUUGGCCAGUUCCUGUUUUGUGAUGGACAGCAUUUUUAUCCUGUUACUCCUUAAACAAGCUUUUCCAGAGCCCUUUGAUUGUUCAAAUACUGUUAUUUUAACUACAUCCCCAAAUUAGUUUUUCCUUUAUUGCUAAGCUAAUACUCACUAAACGUGUCCAUCCUUGGUAGAAAUGUUGUUGUUUCAUUUCCACGCAAUGCUGUAAUUUUUCCUCAAGUCUCAGCUUCCAUUCUGCAUUUAUGGUCACAUCACCUGACCAAGUGACUCUCACUGAUAAGAUGACACAAUUUGGGGGUCAUAUUUACCAAAAUUCAAGUCUCCGGGAAAAAAUGUUAACAAUUGACUGCUAUUUAUGUAAGACUAUUUUCCAUUAUAUAUGAUUAAUAAGAUUAUAGUCUCUAUAAUCAGGCAGAUAGAAACUCUGAUAAACUUCACAUUAAUAGAAAUGCAUUUAGUUUCCAGAAAAUGGUCUCCAAUUUCAGUGAUCUCUCCUGAACUCCACACAUUCAUACUUGAGAAAACACCACUCAGGAGGAUACAUAGAACAAAAACUGUUCCAUUGCAACUUACUGUGGAUAUUUUAUUAGCCUGAAUUUAAAAGAAGGGCUAAAAUUGAUAACCAGCAAUUAGGAAAAUAUCUCGCAAAAUUUUAAAAGUAAUUUAUAUUUUUCUAUGAAAGAUAAAAAUCACUGGUCUGUGGAUUAUCUAGACUGUAUUUAUUUCUCAAAGGUGGGAUUUGUCUUCAGUUUAUGUCAUUUUAUGUAACUACACUCUGUGUCCUAUGAAAGGAUGUUAGACCAAAGAGCAUGACAAUCCAAUUUAUGAAGGGGAAUCACUAAGAGAAAAAGUAGAAGUUAAGAAAUGCUUCUUCUGGAUCACAGUGUUUAUAAGGCAAGGUAGGAAAUGGAUGGUCAGAUAUCAUCCAAUAGGUAUAAGUGAAAAGAGAUUAAGUGUACUUUGCACUUAAGGUAUAAGUGUAAAUGGGUUGAUGUUGUGGUAUGGACCACUUUUAAUUUCCCCUCAGCAUGAGUUGAUGUUAGAAUACUGUUGAGUCUAGGAAUGGCUAUAUUUUGGAGAAGUUAGUGACUUGCUCCAUUUGCACAGUACACAGCCAGAGAACUGGGUAUAAAUUUCAGCAAAACAAAUUUGAAAUAAUUUUGGUGGUUGCCAAAAUAAAGAAUAUCAUUUUCCAUUUGCUGUUUAGGGUUAUAUUGGGGGAAUGAAAAAAAAAGUGGUGGCCAAAGAGCCUAUUAUUGUUACUUGUGGUAGGUUUGUCCCUUCCUUCCAAUCUUGAAUAAAAACAUCACAUCUUGAAUAAAAACUAACACUCACAUAGUUAGCUUUUUAUGAGAUGGAGGUAUUGGUUUGUACAGCGAGAGAAUUACAUUAGAAUGUGAUUCAUGCCAGUGUCAAGAAAGAUGUUCAUGUCAUGUGAUAACCAUGACUGUAGGUAUGAAGUUGAAAAAUGGUUGAAGGAAUCCUCAAAUGUCAGAGAUCAAAAACUUAGUAAAUCAUCUGUCCAAACAUUUAAUUGUAUAGGUACUGACAUCAUUGUUUUUAUAAAUAGCAAAUGUUUAUUAAGUCAUCAUAUUUUACCCAGAGCACUAAAGGGUUGUGCAGAAAGCCAGAUUCAGUCUGUCUGCUUCAUAUCUUGCUCCAGUUUAUGAAUCAUUAUAAUACUGAUAGGGGGGCUGAAUCAAGGAAAAGAGUCAAAUAUAUUACCAUCCAUCCUCAUAGUUUUAAAUUGGAACACUGAUGUUGUAAUACGGACUGCUUUUUUGAAAGUGUUUAUUUAUUCUGAGAGAGAAAGAGAGGGAGAGGCCUAUGAGCACAAGCAGGUGAGGGGCAGAGGGAAAGAGAAAGAGAAUCCUCAGCAGGCUCUGCAUUGUGAGUGCAGAGCCCAAUGAGGGGUUUGAUCUCAUGAACUGUGAGAUCAUGACCUGAGCUGAAAUCGAGAGUGGGACGCUUAACCAACUGAGCCACCCAGGUGCCCCCAGACUGGUUUUUAUUUCCUUUCAGCAUUUGCUGAUGUUAGAAUACUACUGAGUCUAGGAGUGGCUGCCUUUUGGAAAUUUUAAUGACUUGCUUUAGUCAGACAGUACACAGCCAGCAGAGCAGGGUAUAAAACUCCUGUCUCUCCUUCCUACAUCAGUUAUAGCUGUUUUACUUUAUUUUAUACAAUGCUAUUUUCCAGGAGCAAUUAAUUCUUAAAACUCUUUGUCUCAGGGUGCCUGGAUGGCUCAAUUGGUUAAGUUUUUGACUCUUGAUUUCAGGUUGGGUCAUGAUCUCAGUGUCGUGGAAUUGAGCCCCACAUUGGGCUCUGUGCUGACAGCAUGGAUCCUACUUGGGAUUCUCUCUGUCCCUCUUUCUAUCUCUGCCCCUUGCCUGUGCUCUCUCUCUCUCAAAAUAAGUAAAUAAACAUUAAAAAAAAAAAACCCUCUUUGUCUCCUUUUUCAAAAAAUGUUCUAUAAUAGUCCAAGAAUAGAAAUAGUAGCUACAGGCAGAAAUGCUAUGGAGUAGUAACUUUAAACACACAGUAAAUAAGUAUAAAUAUGUUAAGAUUCUUUUAAGUGUCUUCUGAUCAGAGGAGUUUUCCCUAGAGCUGCAAUAACACAUUUGAUUCUUAAUUGUUUUUUGUUUCCCACAUUCAUAUUAGGUAAUAUGCCUUCUGGGUUUCUAUGUCUGACAUACUCUUUGUGUCUUCUUUAUUCCAUGGCUAUCGUCCUAGUUCAGCUCGUACUGUGUAUCGCUUGGACCAGUUCAGUGGCCUCUUGACUUGUUUCUGUAUAGCCAUUAUAUUGUCUAGCCUUUGGCCUUCCUUUUUGAUAAACAACUACCAUAGGAAUCAUCCUGAUGCCCAAUGCCUGUCAUGCCAUUCAGUUGCCCCAAGGGUUUCAACAACUCCUUAGUAUUUACUGCAUUAAGGGCAUACUACUUUGGUUACUAUUCAAAGCACACACACUUCCCAAAUUUAUCUUCCGCUGUUAUUCUACAUGUAUCCUGUGUUCCCAGCCAAAGUAUCCUCUGAACAAGCCCUCUUUCUAUACCUUAGUGCAUACCGUUACCAGUGAAAAUGACAUCUUCCUUUAGAUCUGCAUGCUGAAAUCUUAACUUCUGUAAAAUGCUAGCUUCCUUUUUGGUCUUUCUUGUUCUCCCCAGUCAGUAGUGAUAUUUUGAUACACCGAAGUAUGUUGUACUUUUUUUUUCAUUUUCUAAUUUUUAGGUGCAUUAUCGUGAAUUUCAUUUAUCUCCCUAGAAGUUUCUUGAAGAGGGGAAUAUUUUUAACUCACUUUAAUUUCUAUUGUAUACCAUACAGUCUGUGACUUGCAGAUGGUAGGCAGUACAUUUCGUUAUAUUUAAAAUUAGUGAAAAACGUUAGAAUAAAUAAGAAAAACGAAAUAUGGGUUUGCUAGGCCAAAGAAGAGAAGUUUAUUAGAAAACAAACAUGCCACAAGACCUAAGAUCUAAGGUGGGAAGAAGGGAGUUGAUACUGUUACAAAGACUUGAGAACACCCCAAGUCUUAACAGGUAAGCCUGGAUCUCCAUUCAAACCCUGGUUGACUUGGGGUCUUGAUGAUUUAGGGCAGGAGGUUUCUUAGGUAGAGAAAGGAGUAUGACUCUUUCAGAAGGUUGAUUGCUUGUUCUAGACCGUGCACUUAGUAGCAGCAGGAGGUCCUGCAGGUGGUGCGGCAGGGGGCAGGCUGGCAGCAGGGGGGGCGGCAGCAGGGCGCCUGCACAGAGAUGGGCUGGCAGCAGGUGGAGGCCCAGCAGCAGGGGCGGCAGACCACGGCCGUGCAGGACGUGGGGCAGNNNNNNNNNNNNNNNNNNNNNNNNNNNNNNNNNNNNNNNNNNNNNNNNNNNNNNNNNNNNNNNNNNNNNNNNNNNNNNNNNNNNNNNNNNNNNNNNNNNNNNNNNNNNNNNNNNNNNNNNNNNNNNNNNNNNNNNNNNNNNNNNNNNNNNNNNNNNNNNNNNNNNNNNNNNNNNNNNNNNNNNNNNNNNNNNNNNNNNNNNNNNNNNNNNNNNNNNNNNNNNNNNNNNNNNNNNNNNNNNNNNNNNNNNNNNNNNUCGCGGCAGCAGCAGGGCUGGCAGCAGCCUCCCCCGCAGCCCAGGGAGGAGCAGGUGGAGCCGCAGCAGGAGCCGGACAUGGUGGUGUCUGGGGCUGGUUUGGGUCGGAGGGGUGAGAGGAUUCGGGUGUUGUCAGGUGUGAAUGCCUCCCUCCUGCUCUGGGGCUUUUAUAUACCCUGAGCGGGUCCUGAUGACCCCCACCCCCAUUUAUCUUUUGGCCAAUUGAGUACAGUUUUGUUUUGACUAAUGAUUGCAUUGCUUGUGACAUACUCAUGAUCUCAUUAAAGAACUCUGUUGCAUUCCUAAAUACGGAUAUAUUCAUGCUGUUCAUCAUCAAAAUCUAAGCACUCAGUCAUUUGAGGUGAUAGCAACUCUUGAUGCUUAUUUUGGGUAGAUAGCACCUGAUGAAUCCUGGGCAAAAUGGUCCUAAAGGAACCGCAAGUUUUAAAAGAAAUGAAAGAAAUUAAACAUACAGCGGUUUCUAGAGAACUGAGUGGAUCCUGUCCUUGACCCCUAGGGGAUGCCCUGAGAAACCUACAUGUUAAUCAGACGGGUGUUAGACAUGUCUUCACAUGUGGACUCCUUGGGACUUUAUUUACAUAUCACUUGAUACAAUGGAAUGCAUGUACUUUGAAUAAGACUGUAGCUCUGAUAUUUGUAUGGGAAAGAUAAAAGGUUAUUUUUGUAAACCAAGUAAGUAUUGGAAUAAAACACCCAAGGCUGCCUUCCAUUUUUUUCUUCAGCUCAGCUUUGAGCAGCUAUGGGCCUUCUGCUCAUAGCAUAUUGAUUUUUCAUCUCUGACACAUGACAUUUUCUAUAUUUGCCUUUCUUGUGUGUAAGCUAGAGAAUCAUAUAAUGGGAAGUUUUUUCUUAAUAUACCUUGACAUGGGUACUGUGACUAAGAAGUGAUAAGAUGGAGGUUUUUAACCAGCAUUGCAGACAUACACAACACAUUGAUCAGAGGAGGUAUGUGGGAGGCUGCCCAGCUGUUCGGUGGCAGCACUGCUGGAAAUGUGAGGGACAUGCUUCUUAGGGAAGGGUCACCAGAAGCGUUUGGGGAAAUGCAUGGGGGGAACAGUCUCAUUACUUUACAGCUUUUCUCCUGUUGCUAUGCACCAGAUAGGGUUUUGGGUCACUUAGGAUCAUUCCCAUCGUUCAGAAGAAUGUGCCUCAGGCCCCAGGAGCUAAAGCUCCCCAAGUGGAAUUUUGAACAUAAUUUCAAAACCUUAAAAGGAAUGUAAACCGACUGAACAUAUAGUCAUAAUCAGGGAAACAGAGGAGGGAGAAAUGAAGCACAGUCACAUCAUGAGGACAUUCGACUCUCUCAUGUUUCACGUUCUUUCUCUGGUCCAUAGACACAUGAUUUUUUUCAAAGCAGUAACCAGAGCCUAGAUAAAAACUUGUGUAUUCUGCCCUUUUUUUGUUCUUUUUCCCAGCUUCAUUGAGAUAAAAGUGACCUACAACAUAGUGUAAGCUUCAAGUGUGCAUUGUGAUGACGUGAUGCAUUAUAUAUUGCACAGUGCUUGCUGCAGUAAGGCUACACAUCCUUCUCCCACCUUGCAUAAUUAUCAUCUUAUUAUUGUUUUCAUGGUGAGAACAUUAGAGCCCUACUCGACUGGCAGCUUUUUUUUUUUAUUUAAAAAAAAAUUUUUUUUAAAUGUUUAUUUUUUUUGAGACAGAGAGAGACAGAGAAUGCACGGGGGAGGGUCAGAGAGAAAGGGAGACCCAGAAUCGGAAGCAGGCUCCAGGCUCUGAGCUGUCAGCACAGAGCCCGACGCGGGGCUUGAACUCACAGACCAUGAGAUCAUGACCUGAGCCAAAGUCGGACGCUCAACCAACUGAGCCACCCAGGUGCCCCAUCUCCUAGCAGCUUUCAAAUAUACAAUAUAUUAUUAACUGUAGUCUCCGUGCUGUACAUUAGAUCCCUGGAAAUUAUUCAUCUUAUAACGGACAAUUUAUAUCCUUUGACCAAAAUCUUCCCAUUUCUUCUACCUCUCAGCCCCUGACAAACACUUUUCUACUCUGUAUGAGUUCGAUAUUUUUGACUCCAAAUAUAAGUGACAUCAUGCAAUAUUUGUGUUUUUAUGAUUUACUGCACUCAGUAUAGUUCCUCAAGGUCCAUCUGUGUUGUUGGAAUUGGUAAGGUUUUAGUCUUUUUUUAUGGUUAAUACUUCACUAUAUAUUUUUAUAUAUAUUUAUAUAUAUUUACAUAUACUUAUAUACAUAUUUACAUAUAUAUUUAUAUAUUUACAUAUAUAUUUAUAUACUUACAUAUAUAUUUAUAUACUUACAUAUAUAUUUAUAUAUUUACAUAUAUAUUUAUAUAAAUAUAUAUGCAAAACACAACUAUUGCAAGACUUCUCUUGGAAUACACACAUGCAUCAUAUAUAUCAUUCAUAUAUAUGUAUGCUCUGUGUGUAUACACAUAUAAUCACAUUUUUUUUAUCCAUUCAUGUGUCAUUGGACAUUUAGGUUGUUUUAAUACCCUGGUUAUUGUGAACUAAUGCUUUAGUGAACAUGGGAGUGCAGAUAUCUCUUUGAGAUCAUGAAUUUAUGUCCUUUGGAUGUAUACCCUGAAGUGGGAUUGCUGGGUCAUAUGGUAGUUCUAUUUCUAAUUCUUUGAGGAAUCUCUGUACCCUUUUCCACUGUAGCUGUGCCAAACUAUAUUCUUACCAACAGUGCACCAGGGUUCGCUUUUCUCCCUCACCAGUAUUCUCUCUUAUCUUUUUGAUAUUAGCCAUUCUAACAGGUUGAGGUGAUACCUCAUUGUGGUUUUGAUUUGCAUUUCCCUGAUGAUUACUGAUGUCAAGCACUCUGUUGGCCAUCUGUAUGUUUUCUUUGGGAAAAUGUCUGUUCAGGUCCUCUGCCUAUUUUUCAAUCAAAUUGUUUUUUUUUUUUUGUUUGUUUGUUUUGCUUUCUGUUUUUGUUUUUAUUAUUGGGUUAUAGGAAUUCCUUGCGUAUUCUGGAUAUUAACCCCUUAUUGGAUAUAUACUUGGUUUGCAAAUGCUUUCUCCCAUUUGCCUUUCCAUUUUGUUCAUUGUUUCUUUUGCUCUGCAGAAGCUUGUUAGUUCAAUGUAGUCCUGCUUCAAAAAAGCUGAUUUUUACUUUCGUUACUUAUGCUUAGCUCUUUUCAAGCCAUACUGUCUCAGUCAACUUUUCAUGUUGUUGGGGGUAUUCAUGAUGAUAACAUUUUGUGCAAAGGGGGCCUCUUUGAGACAUACAUAAAACCUCAACUUAGUUAACGAGACUAAUUUCUCUAAACAUUUCUUUUUUUUAAUGUUUGUUUAUUUUGAGAGAGAGAGAGCGCGAGCAAAAGCACACAUGAGUGGGGGAGGGGCAGAGAGAGAGAGAAUCCCAAGCAGGGUCUGUGCUAUCAGCACAGAGUCUGACACGGGGCUCGAUCUCAUGAGCCAUGAGGUCAUGACCUGAGCCAAUAUCAAGAGUCAGACACAGCUGACUGAGCCACCCAUGCACCCCUACUCUGAACACUUCUGAUUCCAAAUUGUUCCAAAGAGAUUUUUUUUUCCUCUUCGUAAAGAUCCACAAAGAGUGCGUGAGUCCCUCAAUAAGCAGUUCUGGUGCUAUUCAGUCUAAGAUGCUCAUCCUCAGCCCAUAAACUUCAUCUCUAGGCAGAGAAAAUAGGGGUUGUGUUUCUGUAAUUCGUGCCACAGAGCUCUGUGAUUUGACAUUGGUGGCAAGUCCUAUGGUAUUUUUUUAAUGCUACUUAUUCUAAAAUCAGACAACAUUCAUUGAAAACUUUGCCAUUUACUGGCUGUGUGUCCUUGGGCCAUGAGUAAUGAUAGUACACACCCAGGUUGUUGUGAACAGUAAAUAAGCUAAUAUUUGUAAGCACUAAGAACAGUGCCUGGCACUUAGCAACUGCCUUGUGUUUGUUAAGUAAAUAAAUAUAUUUUGGGGCGCCUGGGUGGCGCAGUCGGUUAAGCGUCCGACUUCAGCCAGGUCACGAUCUCGCGGUCCGUGAGUUCGAGCCCCGCGUCAGGCUCUGGGCUGAUGGCUCGGAUCCUGGAACCUGUUUCCGAUGCUGUGUCUCCCUCUCUCUCUGCCCCUCCCCCGUUCAUGCUCUGUCUCUCUCUGUCCCAAAAAUAAAUAAAAAACGUUGAAAAAAAAAUUUAAAAAAAAUAUAUAUUUUAAAAAGUCCUGUUAUGUGGAUGCCUUGUAAACUCUAAAUUUUGAACUUAGAAUAAAGAUGAACAUAUAUGGCAAAUGGCUUUCUCUGCCAAGUAACCACAGACUGUACACUAAAUAAGAUUAUCCAGUGGAGAGUUUCACUAAUAACAUUAAAUAAAAUAAAAAUACCUGGAAGGGAGUUAUACAGCUCCCUCUUUUGAACACCAAUUUCUGGGAAGGGGAGUUAGGUUAUUGUUGAAGAAACUAUAAGGAGAAUACGUGUCGGAUUUGUGGCCUGAACCUUACCGAGAACCCCACAGUCUUUGCAUCACACAGUGAGUUCUUAGAAAAACAUCCUUUUUAAAAAAAGCCUUAAAACUGAUUUAGACAGGUUCCUGGUGGUGAUGGGCAACGUAUUUUGUAUUACUAAUGCUAGGGCUUUAUUUAACACUAUCAUUCAACAAUAACGUUAUGAACAAAUUUUAACAUGGAAAAUAGUGUCUUAUGUUCUUAAUUAUCAAUUCUUCAUACAAAGGGAGAAAAUUAAUAAUACCUAUAAUUUGAAACAGCUAACAAUUUUUUAAAGUUCUUAAUUUGGAACAUAUCAAAUUGCAUACCUUAUUUUAUGCAAUUGAGAUGAUCCUGAAAAGUUAAAAUAUGAAUCAGUGUUUUUUUUUUUAAAUUUUUUUUUUCAACGUUUAUUUAUUUUUGGGACAGAGAGAGACAGAGCAUGAACGGGGGAGGGGCAGAGAGAGAGGGAGACACAGAAUCGGAAACAGGCUCCAGGCUCUGAGCCAUCAGCCCAGAGCCUGACGCGGGGCUCGAACUCCCGGACCGCGAGAUCAUGACCUGGCUGAAGUCGGACGCUUAACCGACUGCGCCACCCAGGCGCCCCUGAAUCAGUGUUUAAUAAUUUGAUCAGAGUUUGGAGGUAUCAGAGAAGUCCACUAUAUAUAGCAUAGUGGUACACUCUUCUAUAGAUAAUAAAAUACUUCAUAUGAGUACAGUUGGCUGCUGUGUAAUUAUCUGCUUUAAAUCCACUUAGAUUCUCAUAGGUAGGUUUUUAAAAGCAGAGCACAAUCAAGAGUAAGGUUUAAAUGUUUUUCCCAAAAUAAAUACAGGUUUUGGAUAGUACAUUCCACUAAAAAUAAAAUAUAUGUUCAUUUUAAAUGAUAUAAUUAAGAAAAAUACCAAGAAGAAAAUGAGUAUUAUCCCCAAUUACUCUUAGAUUUUGUUGCAUUUUGUUUAUUUUAUUUUUUAAAUUUUUCUUUUAAUGUUUACUUAUUUUGAGAGAGAGAGAAAGAGUGCACAUGUGAGUUGGGGAGGGACACGGAGAGAGAGGGAGAGAGAGAAUCCCAAGCAGGCUCCACGCCACCAGCUCAGAGCCCAGUGCAGGGCUCGACCCCACAAACCAUGAGAUCAUGACCUGAGCCAAAAUCAAGAGUCAGUCACUUAACCAACUGAGCCAUCCAGGCACUCCCACAUAAUGUUUUAAAUACGUUUUAGGCAUAAGCACACAUAGACAUGCAGAAUACAUUUUUUCUCACAAAAUAGUUUAAUAUUUUACAACUUGCUUAAUUUUAACUUAAAUAUGGGACAAGACAAUUGCAUCAUGUUUCCUAGUAAGUUUAUAAUCUUAAACUAUUUUUAACUACUUAUGGCAUUUCUUCUAUAUUUAUGUUGCUUAUAUUAUGUUUGACUUUUUUUUUCUUAUUUAUACCUUAUCUCCCUAAAUGGAUUAUAACCUCUUUGAAGCAUAUUUUAUUCUUUUAUUCUUUCAUGUUUCCUCAGGAUGGUCUCCACUCAGUGUCUUAUUCAUAGAUGUUCAACAAACAGGUGAAGAUUGACAGUGAUUGAUUAAUUUUCUUGGAAAAUGCCAUUACUGCCCAGUUGCUGAGUACAAAGAUAAUCAGCUCUUGAGAGCCAGUGUGGAUUAAAUACCCACAAGAGUUGACACCGCAAAUAACAUUCUAAAUAAAUAACAGUCAUAAUAAAAUAACUGCCAGAUGUUUAAUGCAUAGAAAGGAGCGCAUUAUCUGAAGCUGCAGUUACUCUUGGCCAGAGAAGACCUGAGUUCUUCUGGGCAGAAGAACAUGUCUCCUACCAUAUUAAGAUGAAGUGUUUGACUUAAGGGCUUAAUGUCAGGGGGUUCGCAUUCUCCUAGGUCUUUUCUAAACAUCAGCGAUUAUAACUAUAUUAGGAAGAAACUUAAUUUAAUCAUCCAUUACUCAUCGCUCUUCAGCUUUAAAAACAUGGGUUUGGCCAGAUGUUGCCUAAGGUUAUUUCCACGUCUAACAUACUGAGUUUCCUAAAUUGUGCUUAGAACAGGUGUCAGGUCAGUGAAUGAACCCUUGGACCAGGGGUGGGUGUGUCAGCUCAGAUGCAGCCUCCUCACUGGGUGUUGUUAAAGGACAUCUCUCAGAUGUUUGGCAUGUCUGGAAUUGUGAGCACAUGUGAUGAAGAUACAGCCAUGUCCACUUUUCUCACUUGGCAACUAUGCCUUAUAAAUGCCACUUACAAGGAUAAUAAGGAAACUACCCAGAGUUAGGUUAUUUCAGAGAAGAAUUUGAGAGGAUCAUUCUGCAUCUUGCUUUGAAUAUCUCUGGACAAAACAGAAAGAACCUACUGGGAGGAAGUAUCACAAAGACCAUGAUUUCUAUGCUGGAAAUACUAAGUUUAUUAGAAAACAGAAGACAUAAUUGAGGAGUUAGACUGGGGUCCUGAGAGGACAAGGUACUCUUCCUCGGUAGUCAGUCUGAAAAGGGGGCUCCAAGGCCUACUCUGAGCCAGACUGAAGAGAUGAGAAAUGGGCUUCUCAGGAAAAGGCAUGUUGUUCUGUCUUGAAGUUAAGAGCAGAAUGGACCCCACACCAUCUACUGGGGACCCUUAGUGAUGAUGCACUUAGUAGCAGCAGGAGGUCCUGCAGGUGGUGCGGCAGGGGGCAGGCUGGCAGCAGGGGGGGCGGCAGCAGGGCGCCUGCACAGAGAUGGGCUGGCAGCAGGUGGAGGCCCAGCAGCAGGGGCGGCAGACCACGGCCNNNNNNNNNNNNNNNNNNNNNNNNNNNNNNNNNNNNNNNNNNNNNNNNNNNNNNNNNNNNNNNNNNNNNNNNNNNNNNNNNNNNNNNNNNNNNNNNNNNNNNNNNNGGGGCGGCGGCAGGGCUCGCAGAUGGGGCGCGUGCAGCGGCAGGUGCAGGUCACGGGGCGGCACACGGUGGUCUGGCAGCUCACGGGGCGGCAGCAGCAGGGGUCGCGGCAGCAGCAGGGCUGGCAGCAGCCUCCCCCGCAGCCCAGGGAGGAGCAGGUGGAGCCGCAGCAGGAGCCGGACAUGGUGGUGUCUGGGGCUGGUUUGGGUCGGAGGGGUGAGAGGAUUCGGGUGUUGUCAGGUGUGAAUGCCUCCCUCCUGCUCUGGGGCCUUUAUAUACCCUGAGCGGGUCCUGAUGACCUCCACGACACAGGUGAUUGCCUUAUUUGUGUUUAUUCUUUCUGAAAUGGCACUGGUAAAUUAGUAAGCUCCCUAGACAUUUUUUUUUAGGUGCUCAGGGACUCAUGAAAGACCAUUUGCUUUCCUUAUUUGAGGGAAACCCAUUAUAUUUUGCUAUUUAUGGUUCAAAUAUGAACUUAAUGACCCUAACUUCAGAGUUUCCAAUUAUCUUCAGAAUUCAGUGAUGUUUUGCCAGUUGAUGUUUCGAUAGCACAGAAUAGCUGUCAUGCCCUUAGGUUCACUUACUGAUAGUGGAAGUGAAUUCCCCAAGUUGUGAGUGUCCAUUUCUACCACUAAGCUUCCUGGACAAAACAAGUUCAGAAAAGUAAUGUGAGACUAUUUGCAAAGGCAUGGUCUGUGAAUAAAAGAAGAGUUUUGCUGUGUACUUUUUGUAGCUACAGGAAUGCAUCUUAUCAUCUUAUCAGUGGGUUGUUUUUCCAAUUUUUAAAAUUUUGGUAAAAUACAUAUAAUGUAAAAUUUACUAUCUUAUCAUUUUUAAGUGUACAGUCAGGGUAUUAAGUCCAUUCAUAUUAUUGUGAACCAUCAGCACCAUCUAUCUCUAGAACUCUUUUCAUCUUGCAAAACUGAAUUCUGUGCCCAUUAAACCACAACUCCCCAUGUACCCUUCUUUUCAGUCCCUGGCAACCACCACUGUAAUUUCUUUUUUUUUUUUUUUUUCUUAAUUAUCUCCUUCCGCCCUCACAUACCCCAUUAGUAUUGGCUCCAACAUUAUUAGGCAUAUGACUUUAGGCAAGUCACUUACCUGGUUCCUUAUGUACAAAAUGUAGAAUAUAAAACCAGCCUCUGGUAACUACUGUUCUGCUUUCUGUUACUGUGAGUUAAGCUUUCUAAACCAUGAUGAAUUUCAUUUUUAAUCUUCAUGAUGACCAGUAUCACUGAGUUCUAGUAUCUAAGUACUUUGCUAAAAGAAAUAAAUGUACUAACUUACUCUUCACAAUAAUCCUAUGAGAUAGGUAUUGUUGAAUUCCUCAUUUUACAUAUAAGGGAUCAGAGAAGUGACUUGCCUAAGGUCAUACACCUACUACUGUUGGAGCCAAUACUGACUGCAAAAACAACCUGUGGGAACAUUAUUAGUAAGCCCAAGGAGCUGAAGAAUGGAACUGUGGUUACCAUAUUCCCUGUCAUUAAGGAAUGUCUGUUUUAUUUAGGAAUUUUAACAGUGAAUUUAUGUUUAAAAUAAAUGGUAUUUGUGAAAUGGCUGAUUUUUAGAGUUAUCUGAAAAGACUCUGUGUCUUCCCAGUAUCCUCAGGAAUUCAAAGAAUUAUCUCCCAAAGAGCCUUCUAAAAAUUCCAAAACAUACCAUAAGGAGAUAACAUCAAAGUUGGACAUAAUUGAGUGGUUAUGGAGCACUAUGAACAAAGCCACUGUUGAGAAAGAAGAAUUUACUCUACCCUUUAAGGUCCUUCUACCUGGACUAAGAAAAAAAAAUGACAUGAGACAGAUUAACAGGAGAAAAUAAAAUUCAGUAGAAUACUUAUGGGGAAUCCAUAUAGCUAUGGAAAUUUCAAAGAUAGUGAGGCAACAUGAUACUUAUAUGAGCUAAGGAGAGGGGUGAGGGUCUGAGGAUACAAAGGGGAGAAAGACCAUUAGCAGGAAGGUGGGAGAUGUUUAGAAAGCGAAGGUUGCCCUAUUAUGCAGGUAAGUUUUUUAGAUAAAGAGGAAUCUCUGUUAAUAGCUUUCUUCCUGGUAGAGACAGGUAGUUGAGGGAGAGGUAAAGAAUGUUUCUUGAAUCUGUUGGGUUUUGAUUGGAUUUAACUCAAAAGAAUGUUUACACCAAAGUGGCCCAUUUGGGGGCAGCCUGCCCUUGGUCCCUACCCUACCAUCUGGAUAAAGGUUGUGGUCGGCCAGCAUAACAGAGCCCCCAGGUAGUGAUCCCAGCCAAAGGUGACCUCCAGGCCCACGUUGUCUUAUCCCAGUGUCUUGCUCCAUUGUUUCCCCAUGUACUACACUUGAGCAUAUUCCUGCUUACAGAGCCAGUUGUGAUUCUCAGUUGUUGUGAUUCUCAGGACUGUAGGAAAAUCAUGUCACAUGGCCAUUUUAUAGACUCUGCCUUUGGAUUUCCUUGGUUCUGACCUUUUGCUUUACAACUAAGUCUGUUCUAGAUCUGUGAUUGAAGACUGUAGUGCAGGCCUCCUUCUUGAUCAUUCUACUUGCAUAGUCCCUUGCUGGCUUACCCAGAUCUUCACCAGCCACUGUGGCUAACCAUGGCAUGGAAUUACUGGGGAAACAAACACAAUCUCAUAAUAAUGAGGAGCUUGGGAGUACACAAAGCAUUCCACAUCUGAGAAUAUAUUAUAAGAAUAGGAAUUUUCUAGAAGGCUAACCAGGAAAAUUCUGAGAGGAGGAAAACAAUGUAGUUAGAGACUUUUAAAAAUGGUGUUCAAGAACAUGUAGAAAGAAACUGGAUUUGUGAGCCCAUCUACCAGUAAACCAUCAAACCCUUACUAAAGAGAAAACCAUUGUGUAUGCAGAUGUUUUGAACACAAUGGGAUUCUUGUUGAGAAAUUUUUACUGUAUUUCAAGAAAAGUACUUUCCUUCAUGAGAAAGCUUAUUUAUUUUAUUGUAAGAAUGCACGAGUCCAGCAUGAGGAGAGAAUCAAUGAGGGAUGAAGAUGUUUUUCUCUCCUCUAACCCUGUAGAACUUAUUCAGUCAUUCAGCAAAUUUUGAUUAAAAUCCUGCGUGCCAAACAUGGUGCAGGUCAGUGGGAAUCCAGUGGUGGACAAAGUCAGUCAAGUUCCAGGACUUCACAAAGCUUACCUGGCUUGCCUCCUCUCUCUGGGCAGGUAGAUAUGCCCAAGCAGACAAGCAACACAUUCCAAAAACCCCUUUAGAUUAUAUGCUGGGAACUCAAUGUGUAUUUCUCAGAAAAACACCAGUGGUUGGUUUACUGACCAGCCUAAGUGUUUAACAACAACAAAAGCAUAUCCAGUGUGGAUUAAUGUUUAAUCUUUCAACUACAUUGGCAUUGUUUUAAUGGUAAAAUGAUUUGGAGUUCUAAUUUAGAAUUGUUCCAGCUAAGCUACAUAUCUCCUUCUCUUCCCAGCAGCAGUGACCUUAUUAUAAUCAGAAUUGGCCAGGGGUACCUGGGUGGCUCAGUCAGUUAAGCGUCUGACUCUUGAUUUUGGCUCAGGUCAUGAUCUCAUGGUUUGUGAGAUCAAGCCCCACAUCAAGCUCUCUCUUGAAAUAAAUAAGUAAGCAUUUAAAAAAAGAAUUGACCAUAGUGGUGCUGGAGGGGAGCCUUGGGAAAGAUGGGAGAGUGGUUCUUCCAGCCUAGGCCUUCAGUGGUUCAGCAUUCCCAGGUACCAACUAAUAUUAAUCAUGGUACAGUUUCCUAAAUCAGGGUAUAAACAUAGCUCUGACUUAGGCUUCCUCCCCCUUAUCACAUGUAUGGGGAUGAUUCAUGGGUCAAGUUCAUGAUUAGAGAAACCGCUGUAGUCUUAUUUCCUCAGCAUCACCACAAAACUUGUGACUUCAGAUAUGAAGGUGCCUCCCAUGAGAUAUUCUGUAUUAUUUGAACUACUAUUAAAAUUAUAGACCUUGCACCUGAAUUGUUCCUAAAGCUAAAAAAAAAAAAAAAAAAAAGGCCCUUGAAAAAAUCCUUCUUCCUUUGGUUCUUCUGAUUCUGCAUACCAUACCUUAAGCUAAAAAAAGCUUUUGAAGAUUAAUAAACAAUAAAGAGAAACACGUUUGCUUCCCAGAGAUAAAAUUUUUAUUAUUUUACCAUGUGAAACCCCAGCACAAAUGUAAUGAUAUCCUGGAAAAUUAUCCCAUCUUGAAAUAGUAGAGAUGUGAUGAUGAGUCAGUGGAAUAGAGCUUCAUUCAAGAAGAACUUUGAUCUUUGUUCACUCAUUUUCUUUCAGGCCAGGAAUUCAAAUGAGGAAAGCUGGGAUGUUUCUAAAGAUUGUCAAAGAGGGCCAGGAUUAACUGGGUAAUUAUGUGGGAAAAAGGAUAGACAGCUACUGUUGUUAGUUGUUGAAGAGCAGGUAGUUUGCAAGGGACGUAUCUCAUCUGAUCCCUUGGGGUGGGAAAGAGUGUUCACAUGUUUCUGAACACCUGGGAACGCUUCUCAAUGGGUGGUUCAGCAGCAGGAGGUCCUGCAGGUGGUGCGGCAGGGGGCAGGCUGGCAGCAGGGGGGGCGGCAGCAGGGCGCCUGCACAGAGAUGGGCUGGCAGCAGGUGGAGGCCCAGCAGCAGGGCUGGCAGCAGCCUCCCCCGCAGCCCAGGGAGGAGCAGGUGGAGCCGCAGCAGGAGCCGGACAUGGUGGUGUCUGGGGCUGGUUUGGGUCGGAGGGGUGAGAGGAUUCGGGUGUUGUCAGGUGUGAAUGCCUCCCUCCUGCUCUGGGGCCUUUAUAUACCCUGAGCGGGUCCUGAUGACCUCCAUGACACUGGUUGUUUCCUGGAGUUGUGGCUGCCCAUUGAUCUCUAGAUUGGUGGAUUCAGUUGCUGAGGCAGCAGUUCCCAUCAUGGAAGGAUGCUUUCCUUUCCACCUGUCUGCUUUCUUCCUUGAAAUGAAUACUUGAUGAAUUAUAUCAUCCAAAAAAUUACCCAUGGAAUAACCAAACCUUCCAGACCAUGCCACGUGACAAGUUGAAAGUGUGAAGAAUCCAGUGUUGACGCCAUCACACUUUCCUCUUGUUUGUCUUGUUCACCACCCAUGACUCAGUGCAAGACUGUAGUGUUCCUGAGGUCACAGGCCUGGUUUCUGAUUGACCUUGAGAUGAAGCAAGAAUUUCUAAAACACCAAAUGACUCAUGAAAGGAGAUGUGUACUCAUUGUGCUAUGGGAAGAAUGGUCCAGUGCUUCUGGAAAACAACACAGUGCUUCACUUCGCUUGUAAGAAAAUAAUCACCAGAGCCACUGGCGUGAUAUUGUUUAGUAACUCACUUGGCUUAUAAAUCAGAGUCACUUCUAAAGACUCUUACUAUGUAAACAGUACUAUUUAUGAGUGGAGAGGGAAAGGGAAGAAGAAGAUUAAGUUCCAAGUAGAUUCUUAUCACACAGCAAUUACAAAUUUUAGGAGGGUAAGACAAAGGCAGAUAAAGUAAUCAAAGCAGAAGACUUUUCAUAGGACAAAAAGUUCAAAUUAAGUGAGGAUUUUAUUCAUAUUAUGCAUUUUGAAUGCCCCUCCCUGAGUAUGGUCUUAGAAAUAAAAUUGAAAUUGGGAUCCCUCUUUCUUUCUAGGUGUUACCAUAAGCACUUGUAUUGAGUUCUACAAAACACGUUGAAAAUAUUUAUAAAGGAACCAGUUAUCUUUUCGUAGUAGAUACUUUGGUCUGUUGGCCGAGGAUUUGUUUGCUUAUGAAGUGUGAAAUUGGCUUCAGAAAAAAACAGGGGAAUUAAAUGUACUGGUAGCUGAUAAAAUAACCUUGUCUUUUUCAGCCACAGCUAAGGAAAAUGGGGGUAUAGAAAAUAAUUUAUAGUUGGAAGGUAGUUUAAGGAUGACACUAUCCAAGGGUUGCUGAUGACUCUCAGACCAAGUGUUCUCCAAAGUGUGGUUUAUUUAAAAAUUUUUUAAAAAUGUUUAUUCAUUUUUUGAGAGAGGGACAGAGCACAAGUGGGAGAGGGGCAGAGAGAGGGAGACACAGAAUCUGAAGCAGGCUCCAAGCUCUGAGCUUUCAGCCCAGAGUCUGACGUGGGGCUCAGAUCCAUGAACCAUGAGAUCAUGAACCUGAACUGAAGUCGGAUGCCCAACUGACUGAACCACAGGUGCCCUGAUAUAAUCAUUUUUUAAUACACUCCUUGGUCUGCCUAGCUGUGGUCCUUGAAGGCCUUUGAAUUUGUGACCCAUCAUGGUCCUUCAAAGUUUUUGGAAGGCCAGGUUUGUGAAAUGAUUUCUCUAAAGAUAUACAGAUAAGAGAGUGGCAAAGCAUAGAUAGUACUGUGGUCUUCCUUUGAGUGUAAACACUGAUGAGUGACAUAGUCUUUUCCAACUCUUACUUCAAACCAGUGAACAGGUAGUAGUAGUUAUCAAAACUUCUAUCCCAUCUAGUGAAAUAUAAUGGGAACUUGCUUGAUUUAUGGUUUAGUGUAUUGUUAUUUGGCUUAGAAUAUAUACAGUGACUAAAUUGUCAGGAAUAGAAAUAUGUCUGUAAACUCACUGCAUUUCUUAACUAACAAAAAGGAAAGAAUACUAAGAAAUUCUGUGUCCUGAAAUCAUAGACUGUCAGAAACUUUGCUAUUUGAAGCCACAUCAGUAAGAAGUGAAGAUCCCACUAUUUCCUGGACAGGAUCUUAGUCACCUUAACACAGAGAAGCAGCUUCAAUAUCCAGCCCAGAGGCAGAGUUUCAGAUCAGAGGUUUUCAGAAACAACAUUCCUCAUUUAUCUUAACUAUGUAGUUUUCAAAGAAAGAGGACUUAAGUCCUUGUGACAGCCCAGUCCUCAUGUGAAUUCUUGUGUUUUUACUUAAACUCUACCAUUCUUCAAAAUCCUAUAAAAAUAGCUUUUCCUUUGUUUUGUGGGAUGCCUCUGGUCCUAUGCUGUGUGGUCUCCUUUGCACAUUAAUAGGCCUAAGCUUUUUGGACAACAGAUUGUCCCUAGUCUUUGUCACAUGGGCUUUUUUAGUCCUGUUAUUUGAAUUCCAGAUGUUCUGCAAGAGCAUAACCACAAGGGUGGGAGUAAGUAAAUGUUAAUCACAAUGGUGAUAAUUUGUGGGAUUUUGUGGUUGGACUGACAGUAUGCAAUGCUGAUGACUUUUUCUGAUGGUGAACCACACACCCUCUUCUUCAUAGUUUCAUGGGUUGUGUUGUUAGGAGCUAGUUUGGGGGCCACUGGAUGUUAGGAAGAUUUUAAAAUUCUGAAAACAGAAUAUCUGUUCCCUGUUCUGCAAAAUGACCUUUGAAAUAUCCUCCAAUCGUAAGAGACACGAGGAUAGGAAAGAGUGAGGGAGAAAGGGCAGGGGGAGGAUGGGGAGACAAAGAGGGAUUCAGAUCUAAGAGGGCUUAGAGCUAAUACCUGUCCUCUGCCAGGGCCAGUCUCCUCAGCUGUAAAAGGGGCUGAGUCUUCUGUCCAUGAUGUUCUUCAUAGGCUAGGUUUAUCAUAAAACCUGUACAGUGGGGAAGACAAAAGAAAUGGAUAUCAUUCAUUGAAAAGAGAGAAUGUUUUAGAUGGAAAAAUUCUAGAUGAUCAGGGAACGGGUGGAAUUUUUUUUCUGGAAUUUAACAAAUACAUAUCUUUUCUGCCUAAUAAAUACCAUCUUCCUAAAGCCAGGGAAGACUAACCCAAGUAAUCUUACAGCUUAAGUUGUUUGCCUUCUUUGGGUGGUUCAGGGUGGAAUGAAAAGUCCAUCAGAUACAUGUAUUAUCUCCAUUGCUCCUGAUGCCAAACCCUUAUUCAUAAAUCCUGUAAGCUAGGACUCUCUCCUAUGCAUUAGCCCUUUCAUUCUGAGACAGCUUCAAUUUGCUGAUGGAUUUUUUCUUCCUUCUUUGUUAUACUUACUAAACCUUAGGAGUGUGCUUUGUUAUGUUAGGAAAUCUGUUUCUGCCAAUGGAUGUGGACUGUCUUGAAAAAACAAGAAGCCUUCCCCUCAAUCCUCUCCCACUUUCAGUGACAUGAUAUGUCAUAAAUAGCACAUCUUUUGAGCCUGUUUGAUACAGUAAUGUUCCAAUGUGUAACAAGGACUAUCAGUGAAUGGUGCUUGGUAAAUACUGUGUGCCAAUCACAUUACAUACAUAAGGUCAUUUAACUUUCCUAGCAACCAACAUUGGUGAGAAUUAACUUUCCCGUUUGGCAGAUGAAGAAACCUGAAGGUCAGAGAAGUUAAGUUAUACUGAUGCUGAGGAUUCUGCCUUAAGUAAAAUACCUACCUUUUAGAGUUCUUGUCAUAAAGACAAUUGCCUUCUAAUUUUGUUUGAUUCAAUAGAAAUCAAGUACCAACCAUAUUCUAAACAUUGAGCUCAGUACUGAAGCCAUUAUAAAUUGUGUCCCCUUUGUUGGAGGCAGAAAAAUAGAUCAUCUCAAUACAAUGCCUUGUGGGGAGGGAGAUGAGUAUAGGAUCGCUUUUGGAACAUGUUAGGGGCACCUGACCUAGCGUGUGUGUGUGUGUGUGUGUGUGUGUGUGUGUGUGUACGUGUAUGCGGACAUGCAUGCCUGUGAGUACAUGAAUAUGUGCAGGUGUGUGUAUGCGGUAGAGGGGUUAGGACAGAACUGUUAGAGAAGACUGAGCUGAAUCUUGGAAAUGACUGAGUGUUAGGUGGAUGAAGAAUGUGGAGGGUAGGAGUAGAUGAAAAAAAUAUUCCAGAUAAAUGCAAGAAUAUGACAAAAGCAAAGACAUAGGGAACUGCUUGGCAUGUGCCAGUUACUGUGAGUUCAGUGUUACUUGAAGUGAAACUUAGUGGGGGGUGUCGAGACAUGAACGUGGACAUCUGGGCAAAGGACAGGCCCUGGAGAACCUUGUGUGCACAGAUUUCCUACCCACAUAAGCAGUCUGAGGACUAGCCUGGCCAUCCUGCAGCACCUUCCAAAACUCCAUUCCUAACACCUCUCCCUUUUCUCUUCUGUCUUCCUCACCUUCUCCAUCUUGUCUUCCUUCUUCCUUGUCCUCCUUCCUUCCUUCUUCCUAUUCCUUGUCUGCUCAGCUAUGUACACUAAUAAACAGGCACUACUGAAUGAAUCAGGUAGCAGGGAGGUUUACGGGAAAAAUUAGUUUAUUGAAAAUAAGUGAGCAGCACAUUACAAAGGAUGAUGAGGAGGGUUUGGGCAGCCUUCAGAGUUCAGGAUGGGUUUGCAAAGUCCACUCCAAGGACUUUUAAGAGAGAUCUACCAUCCAUGGUGUCUUCUGCUGAUGGAGACACCUGGGUAUUUGGCUGAGGGUGGUGAUGGACAUCUGCUUGUGUAUCCAACUGGUAGGAUGUAAAAAUGGCUAUUGUCACCUUAUGAAAAAUAUCUUCUUUUCUUUCCACUUUCUUAAAAUGCGGAAUAGGUGCUUAGGCUCCAGUGUGUUGCUAUUUAGGGAUGGUAGGGGUCUCAGCAGCAGGAGGUCCUGCAGGUGGUGCGGCAGGGGGCAGGCUGGCAGCAGGGGGGGCGGCAGCAGGGCGCCUGCACAGAGAUGGGCUGGCAGCAGGUGGAGGCCCAGCAGCAGGGGCGGCAGANNNNNNNNNNNNNNNNNNNNNNNNNNNNNNNNNNNNNNNNNNNNNNNNNNNNNNNNNNNNNNNNNNNNNNNNNNNNNNNNNNNNNNNNNNNNNNNNNNNNNNNNNNNNNNNNNNNNNNNNNNNNNNNNNNNNNNNNNNNNNNNNNNNNNGGGGCGGCGGCAGGGCUCGCAGAUGGGGCGCGUGCAGCGGCAGGUGCAGGUCACGGGGCGGCACACGGUGGUCUGGCAGCUCACGGGGCGGCAGCAGCAGGGGUCGCGGCAGCAGCAGGGCUGGCAGCAGCCUCCCCCGCAGCCCAGGGAGGAGCAGGUGGAGCCGCAGCAGGAGCCGGACAUGGUGGUGUCUGGGGCUGGUUUGGGUCGGAGGGGUGAGAGGAUUCGGGUGUUGUCAGGUGUGAAUGCCUCCCUCCUGCUCUGGGGCCUUUAUAUACCCUGAGCGGGUCCUGAUGACCCCCAUGACACAGGUCAUUUCUUGUUAAUCUUCUGGCCAAUUAAGUGAGGAUUUAGCAUUGAGUAAACCAUGUUUGUUAACACUUUACCUUAUACACAUUCAUGCACACAACCACAAACAUUCCUUUGUUUUCUCAUAUUGUUUAUUCUCACCAAAUCUAGACAUUGGAUUCAAUUCUGAUGAAUUUCCUUUUGAAACAUUCCUAACUCAUAAGAGAGAAAAGAAUGUGUUUUCUAAACGAGAUUAGUAUCUAAUUACUCUGCCCUUUGGCCUUGAAGUCAGCAUUUUAUUCCUGGACUUCAAGGACUCAAUUACCACCCAAACAUGACCUGUCUUAUUUUCACUCAUGCCCCUGACCGUAACAGGUUAAUAGCAGCACUCUUGUGUAGGCCAUUCGUGUGAGCUGUGGACUCACCACAACUCUGGGAGAGGCAGGUUUGUAGUUUUCAGAUGAGGGGGGAACCACAUGGCACCCUGGACCUGUGGUCUGGUUGCUCUUCCCCAGUAGGAUCUGGGCUGUCCUGCCCUGGUUGUUGUUUCCCUAUUCUCUUGGAAUGCCUUCAUCUUCCUUCCAAACCAAACUCAACUUCUACCGUGACUGUAACAUUUUUAUCAAGGAUCCACUGCAAUUUUUAUCUUCGUAAUAAUUUAUUCAGAAUUAUCAUUGCAUGUGUAGAUUCUGGGAAGGGACUAUAGAGAAUAUAUAGCCCUAUCCCCUCACCUUACAGGAGGGGUCAUGUGAAUUCACGCAGUCACAAUGGGGUCUAGGUCUCCUCAUUCCUCAGUAAGCAGCCUCUACCAUGAGUAUUAUGUUUAUCAGGUUCAGUAGACCAUAGCCUUCAGACAGGAGAGAGAACAUCUCAAGCAUUCCCCCUACCGCAUUUUUAUCUCAAGUCUUUAAAGUGAGUAAGCAUUGUUAAAAGUGAUACUGGAAGAGAAUUAGGGAAAUGUCUUGUCCCAAUGACAGAUACUUCGAAAGGGGCUUGGGACUUGCGUGCUGGGUAAGAUCUUUGUACCAGUGCAGAGGUUUCUCUGAGGACUGAUCAACAGAGCUUGGCUUAUUGGUGGAUAGGAGUGUGAGGGUUGCCUGUUCCCAGGAUGUUCUAAGUAUAGUCUAGUUUCCUUUGGUAAUACAUUGUGGCACUGUGAGAUAACGUGCUUGCCUAAUUCCUUUUAUUGUUUUUCAUUUGUACUUCACCCCAUACCUUAGCCUUUGUGAUGAGUUCCAUAAAUUUAUUCUUACUUAAUGGAGUAGAACUGUACUUUUCCUUUGGAUUUGAGGGGGAAAAAGAAUUCUGUCCAGUCAACCCCACUUACUUUCUUUGAGCACUAAAUGAAAGAAAGGGCCAAGAACUUGCAAACCACCAAUCAAAUGUCCUAAAAUUACUAUCUUGAGCUUAAAGGGGGAGGCUUUUUGUUGUUUUCAUGGGAGAAUUAGUUUUAUUUUUGCUUCAGUGAUAUCAUGGAAGAUAUCAUCAAUGCUGAAUUAGAUGAAAUUCAUUCUCUAUAUCUCUUCAUCCCAAGAUUCCCUCUUGGCUCCUUUUACAAUAGUUGAUUUUUAGUGUGCAGACUAGGUAAUUGAGAUAAUGUGGCUAGAAUUACAUGCAAGCUAGUUUCCCAUUGCCACCAUGGUUGAAUUAGUCAGCUAUGAUGCAUAACAAGCAACCACAAGCUCUCAGAACAUGCAAUAACAAAUAUUUAUUUCUUGGUCACAUGUCUGCAGGUCAGUUGGGUUUUGGUGGAUUACGGCUGGUCUUGGCUCCGGCAGCGAGUUGGUUUGGGACUUGCUUCUGAAUUAGAGUUGCCAGAUUUAGCAAAUAAAAAUACAGGUGCCCAGUUAAAAUCGGAUUUCAGAUAAACAAAUAUAUCUUUAGUAUAAGCAUGUCUGAGUAUGCAUGGGGCAUUCUUACAUUAAAAAUUUACUGUCAUUUAACUGAAAUUCUGAUUUAAUGAGGUGUCUUGUAUUUUAAUUGGCAACCCUAUUUCUAAUGGCAGAAGCACAAGGGAGCAAUCCAGUCAUGCAGGCAUAUUUAAAGUCUUUGCUUGGAUCAUGUCCUCUAACAUCCCAUUGGCCAAAGCAAGUUACAUGGUGAGUUCCAAGUCACAGGGUGCGAGAGUGGGAGAGGAUACUUCUCCCAGAGGGGUGGGAAGGGGAAGAGAGUAAAUAUUAAUGAAGAAUGAUCUAAUCUUCCAGAGUAGUAAAUAAAUUAUUUUAGUAAUCUUUGUUGUGAAGCUUGGACAAAGAUUGUAGAAAGCCAAAUUAGAUUAUGGUUACUGCAUUUCCAUUCAUUUGAGUAAAUUUACUUCUCUUCCUCCUUCCCUUCCUGGUCAACCAGGAAAUUUCAUUGAUUUAAAAAGAGACCUCCUUAUCUACACAUUUAAUGCAAUCCCUAUCAAAAUACCAACAGCAUUUUUCACAGAACUAGAACAAACAAUCUUAAAAUUUGUAUGUAACCACAAAAGACCCCAAAUAGCCAAAGCAAUCUUGAAAAAGCAAAGCAAAGCUGGAGACAUCACAAUUCUGGACUUCAAGUUAUAUUGCAAAGCUGUAAUAAUCAAAAUGGUAUGGUAUUGGCACAAAAAUCGACACAUAGUUCAAUAGAACAGAAUAGAAAAUCCAGAAGUAAACCCACAAUGAUAUGGUCAAUUAAUCUUCAACAAUGCAGGAAAGAAUAUCCAGUGGGGAAAAGACAGUCUGUUCAACAAAUGGUGUUGGGAAAACUGGACAGCAACAUGGAAAAGAAUGAAACUGAACUUUUUUCUUACACCACACGUGAAAAUAAAUUCAGAAUGGAUUAAAGACCUAAAAGUGAGACGUGGAAUCAAAAAUCAUAGAAGGGAACACAGGCAGUAACUUCUUUGACAUCGGCCAUAGCAGCUUCUUUCUAGAAAUUUUCCUGAGACAAGAAAAACAAACAAUUGAGACUACAUCAAAAUAAAAACCUUCUGCAUAGCAAAGGAAACAAUCAACAAAACUAAAAGGCAACUUACAGAAUGGGAGAAGAUAUUUGCAAGUGACAUAUCUGAUAAAGGGUUAGUAUCCAAAAUAUAUAAAUACCUUAUAAAACUCAACACACAAAAAGCAAAUAACCCAAUUAAAAAAUGGGCAGAAGGCAAGAACAGACAUUUCUCCAAAGAAGACAUACAGAUGGCCAACAGACAUGAAAAAAUGUUCAUCACUUACUAUCAGGGAAAUGCAAAUCAAAACUAUAAUGAGAUAUCACCUCACACCUGCUGGAAUGGCUGAAAUCAACAACACAAGAAACAAAUGGCAUUGGUGAGGAUGUGGGGAAAAAGGAACCCUCAUGUACUAUUAGUGGGAAUGCAAACUGGUGCAGCCAUUGUGGAAAACAGUGUAGAAGUUCCUCAAAAAGUUAAAAAUAGAACUACCCUAUGAUCCAUCAAUCGCACUACAAAAACACUAAUUCAAAGGUACAUGCACCCCUACGUUUAUAGCAGCAUUAUUUACAAUAGCCAAGAUGUAGAAGCAGCCCAAGUAUCCACUGAUAGAGCAAUGGAUAAAGAAGAUGUAGUGUGUAUAUACAAUGGACUAUUAUUAAACCAUAAAAAGAAUGAAAUCUUGCCAUUUGCAAUGAUGUGGAUGGAGCUAGAGAGUAUUAUGCUAAGUGAAAUAAGUCAAUCAGAGAAAGACAAAAACCGUAUGAUUUCACUCAGUAUGUAGAAUUUAAGAAACAAAACAGAUGAACAUAGGGAGGAAAGAAAAAGAGAGGCAAACCAGAAAACAGACUCUUAACUAUAGAAGACAAACUGAGGGUUGCUGGAGGGGAGGCGGGAGGAGGAUGGGUUAAAUGGGUGAUGGGUAUUAAGCAGUGCACUUGUGAUGAGCACUGGGUGAUGUAUGGAAGUGGUUAAUCACUAAAUUCUACUCCUGAAACUAAUAUUACACUGUAUGUUAAAUAAUUGGAAUUGAAAUAAAAACUUGAAGAAAAAAAACGCUUCCCAAUAAUAAACCGGACAUUAACUAUUUAUAUACAGAUUGCCAAAGAAUAUUUUCAACUUUUCUUCAUAAAUAUUGCAUUGUUUUAUUAGACCUAUUUUGAAACAGUUUAUAAUAUUUGUAGCUCUUGUGAAUGGAAUCUUCAUUUCUAUUAAAUUAGAAUUACUAAUUGAUUCUUUUCAGGUUAUAAAAAUGUUACUGAGUUUUUUGUUUGUCAAUACUCUAUAUAGUGACUUCCCUAAACUCUCUUUUUAGCACAAGUUUGUAGGUUUUUUUGGAUUUCCUAUGUUAACAACAGUAUUGUCUACAGGUAUCAACAAUUUUGUUUUUUUUUUUUUUCUGUAAUGCUUUUUCUCUUAAUCAGAUUGAAUUGAGUAGAAUCUCAAAUACAACAAUGAAUGAUAGGAGUGGUAUCAGUUAUCCUUGUCUUAUUUAGAUUCUACUAGGAAUACUUCUAAAAUUUGUUAACUAUUAUGUUUUGCUAUGAAGUUUUGAUAAAUAGCAUUCAUCAGGAUAAAAAUGUCCUCUUUUAGCCCUGUUUUGCUUAGAGUGUUUUAAAUAGUAAAUGGCUGUUGUGAUGGUCAAUUUUAUGUGUCAACUUGACUGGGCCAUAGUAUGCUCAGACAUUUGGACAAACAUUCUGGGUGUGUCUGUGAAACUGUUUCUGGGUAAGAUUAACCUUUGAAUUAGUAGACUGAAUAAAGCAGAUGACCCUCUCCUGUGUGGGUGGACCUCACAGAUCUGAAUAGAAAAAAAAGGCUGACUUCCCCUUCAACUUUGAUUAAAAGAGAACUCCUCCUUCUGACUCCCUUGACAUCAGUCUUCCUGACUUCAGAGUUGAACUGAAACAUUGGCUCUUCUUGGGUCUUGAGUCUGCUGGCUUUUGAACUGGAAUUUACAUUAUCAGCACUUCUGGGUCUCCAGCUUGUCAAUUGCAGAUUUUAGGACUUCUCAGAUUCUGUAAUCUGCAAUUCUAUAUAAUCUCAGAUUCUAUAAUCCGUCCUUUCCCCCUCCUCUCUCUCUCUCUUAUGUUUGUGUGUGCAUGUGCGUAUUUAUGUAUAUAAACAUGUGUCUAUAUCUACAUCAGUCUCCCACUGGUUCUGUUUCUCUGGAGAACCCUGACUAAUAUAGUUGUUAUAUAUUACUGAAUUAUUUUCCCACAGCUAUUGAUAUAAUCCUGAAGGUUUUUUUUGUUUGUUUUUGUUUUUUGUUUUUUUUUGUUUUUUUUUUUUUACCUUUAAUGUACUAGUAUCAACAAGCUUAUUUAAAUACUUUCUAAUUUUGAAACAUUCUUGAAUGUCUAGGACAAACUAGUUAGUUGUGAUGUGUUAUUCCUUUUAUAUAUAUUGCUAAAUUUCACUUACUAAUAUUUACUGGCUUUUUGCAUCUAUGAUCUUCAAUAACAUAGGCCUGUAAUUUUUCCUUUAUCACUUUGUUCUUGUCUGUGUCUGAUGUUACUGUUAUACUUAAAAUGAAUUGGGAACAUUUUCCUUUCUUCUGUUCUCCCAUCCAAGUACCAAUGAGGACUGACUCUGCUUAGCUUCUGAGAUGAGAUGAGUUUGGGCACAUUUAAGGUGGUAUGGCUGUAGACCUUUUCUUCUGUUCUUUUUCCCAGUUUGAAUGGGAAAGAACUUUAAGGUUUAGUAAACUUACUUGUAAACCAACGUGGGUUUGGCAUUUUUAAUAUCAAUAUAUGUAGAGGAUAGAUUUUGGAUCAUAGUUAUAGUUUCUUUAAUGGUUAUUGGCUUAUUUAUAUUUUGUAUAUCUUCUGGAAUUAAUAUCUAUUUUUCUAGACAUAGUCAAUUCAAUCAUAAUUUUCAAACAUAUUGGUAUAAACUUAUGCAUAAUGUUCUUUUUUAAAAAAUUUUAUUAGUGUUUAUUAUUUUUGAGAGAGAGAGAGAGAGAGAGAGAGGGCAUGAGCGGGGGGAGGGGCAGAAAGAGGGAGACAGAAUCCAAAGCAGGCUCCAGGCUCGGAGCUGUAAGCACAGAGCCCAAUGCGGGGCUUGAACUCACAAUCUGUGAGAUCAUGACCUGAGCUGAAGUCGGCGCUUAACUGACUGAGCCACCCAGGGACCCCUAAACUUAUACAUAAUGUUCUAAUUGUUUUUAAAAGUUUCCACUCUCUUGGAAGCUGAUUAUUCUGCUUUUCAAGUAUAAUGUUAUUUGCCAGUCUUUCAGACAUUCUCCUUUUUCUCUCUCUCUUGGUCUUUGAUCAGUUUUACCAGACUUUUUCUAUUUCAUUAGUUUUUUUUUGUCUUUGUUGUGUUUAUAUAAUUAAUUUUAGUAAACAUUUCUUAUUGUGUUUAUGUAAUUUUAUUAAGCUUUUCAUUUAAAAAUAUGUUAUUAAUGUUUAAAUUUGUCAUUCUUUCCACAUUGGGUUUACUGAUUGAUGCGGGUUGUGGGAUGGAGAUGUAAUAGAAGGUGAGAAUUUCAAUGUGUGAUUCCAAAGCAUGGCUUCAAGAAAGGGAACCCUGUGCAUUGUUGGUGGGCAUGUAAAUUGGUGCAGUCUCUCUGGAAAACAGUAUGGAGGUUUCUCAACAAAUUAAAAAUACAACUGCCAUAUGAUCCAGCAAUUCAACUUCUGGGUAUUUAUCCAAAGAAAAUGAAGACAUUAAUUCAAAAAGAUAUAUUCAAUCCUAUGUUCAUUGCAGCAUUAUUUACAAUAGCCACGAUACAGGGGUGCCUGGGAGACUCAGUCGGUUGAGUGUCUGACUUUGGCUCAGGUCAUGAUCUUGCGGUCUGUGAGUUCGAGCCCUGCGUUGGGGUCUGGGCUGACAACUCAGAGCCUGGAGCCUGCUUCAGAUUCUGUGUCUCCCUCUCUUUCUGCCCCUUCCCCACUCAUGCUUUGUCUCUCUCUGUCAAAAAUAAAUAAACAUUAAAAAAAUUAAAAAAAAAUAGUCAAGAUACAGAAACAACCUAAGUGCCCAUCAGUGGAUGAAUGGGUAAAGAAGAUGUGGUGUAUAUAUACAAUGUAUAUAUAAAUGUAUAUAUAAAUACAAUUUUACCCAGCCAUAAAAAAGAAUGAAAUCUUGCCAUUUGCAACCACAUGGAUGGGUCUUGAAGGUAUUAUGCUACGUGAAAUGAGUCAAAAACAGAUACUGAAUGAUUUCACUUAUACGUAGAAUAUAAACAAAUGAAAAACAAAUGAACAAAACAAAACUCAUAGAUACAGAGAACAGAUUGGUGGUUGCCAGAGAUGAGUGGGGUUAGGGGAUGGGUGAACUGGGUGAAAGUGGUCGAGAGGUAUAAACUUCUAGUUAUAAAAUAAAUGUCACGGGGAUAUAAUGUAUAGGAUGGUGACUAUAGUCAAUAAUGUAUCACACACCUUAAAGUUGCUAAGAGAGUAAAUCUUAAAAUUUUUUGUUACAAGAAGAAAAAUUUUGUACCUUUAUACAGUGACAGAUUGUAGCUAGACUUACUGUGGCAAUCAUUUCUUAUAGUACACAAAUAUUGAAUUAUUGUGUACACCUGAAACUAAUAUGAUGUUAUAUGUCAAUUAUAUCUCAAUAAAAAAACAAAUUAAAAUUUAAAAAAUAAGAGCUAAAGACAUGAAUGAAAUCUGCCCUAAUUUAGGAUAUUAAGAUGUAUAUACAUGUGCAUAUACAUGUACACAUGUGCCACCUUUGUUCUAAUAUUUUAAAUGAUCUAUAUUUCGUAUAUAUAGCACUUAUUCUCAAAGUGAUUUCAACAUGAGUGUUCUUCCUGUAUCAUCAUGUAAAAUAUAGUUACCUAAUACUAAGUAAAAUGAUCACGAAAACAAUAAGGAACAAUGCCAAAAAAUUUUUAUGUGUAGAAAAGUUUAUUAGAAAGAGAAGCAACGAAACAUAAAAAAAAAUUUACUCUGUUAGAAAAUCUAUAACUGGAUCCCUAGGUCUGAGGGUAUAACUGAACCCCAGGUCAGAGGGUGUCAAAUCAGUACUGCACAAAGGUUGCAGAUAAUAUUCACUUUGUUAGGAAGGGUAAUCUAGAGCCCUAAAAUGAUAAGGAAGAAUGAGAAAUUUAGAGGAGUGGGAUUUUUUUUAGCUGAUGGACCACAUAUUAAUAUCCAUAUUUGAUGCCAAUAUUGAAAGGAAAAGAUAGUCAUGGAAGGAGCUUAACAUGAACCACAAUGUGCUCGCAGAGCCAGUGGCACAUUGGUGUUCAUUAGAAUGGCGAGGCUCAACCUGUUGAAUGAUGUCAGUCAGAUUCCAUGUGUCCCACAACACCAAAGAGUCUAUAUCUGAGGGGGCAGAAGUGAGUGGAGAUAGUGGUCACAGGGCAGGGGGCUCAGCAGCAAGAGGAGGCACAGCACAUGGGGCGGGGGCAGGUGGAGAUGACACAGGUGGGGCGAUAGCAAGUGGUGUGGCAGGAGACCCGGCCACAGACUGGGCGCAGGCAGCAGGAGGGGCAGCAGGAGGGGCGGCAGCAGCUGGAGCCACAGCAGCUGGGGCGGCAGCAGGUGGUCUGGCAGCAGGAGGGGCGGCAGCAGCUGGACACACAGCAGGUGGGCCGGCAGCAGGUGGUCCUGCAGCAGGUGGUCUGGCAGCAGGUGGGGCGGCAGCAAGGCUGGCAGCAGCUGGAGCCACAGCAGCUGGAACCCCCACAGCAGGGGCGGCAGCAGCUGGAGCCACAGCAGCUGGGGCGGCAGCAGGUGGUUCUGCAGCAGGUGCGGCAGCAGCUAGAAAUGCAGCAGGAGGGGCGGCAGCAGCUGGAGCCACAGCAGCUGGAGCCACAGCAGGAGGGGCGGCAGCAGCUGGACACACAGCAGGAGGGACGGCAGCAGCUGGAGCCACAGCAGCUGGAGCCACAGCAGGAGGGGCGGCAGCAGCUGGACACACAGCAGGUGGGCCGGCAGCAGGUGGUCCUGCAGCAGGUGGUCUGGCAGCAGGUGGGGCGGCAGCAAGGCUGGCAGCAGCUGGAGCCACAGCAGCGGGAGCCACAGCCCUGGUCAGAGCAGACAGAGCCACAACAGGAGCUGACCAUGGUGUCAGAGGAAGGAUUGGGGUUCCACUAGUAGGUAUGAGUGGGUUUCCACAAGGGUGGUUUCUUGAGUUUGAAUGUCUCCUUACCUCUGUCCCCUUUUAUACCCUGCUGAGGGUUACUAUGACCAUGUGCAGGACUCUUCUUGUUGUUUAUCCUAAUAGAAAAUCAGUUAGUUUUAGUAAAUUAGAUAAUUAUAUUUAUCUGGUGAAUAUUCCUAUAU
Molecule: long non-coding RNA, 36387 nt
Filed under: Lynx pardinus (Iberian lynx)
Lineage: Eukaryota; Metazoa; Chordata; Mammalia; Carnivora; Felidae
Source: RNAcentral